RNAcentral lists this transfer RNA (73 nucleotides) under Marmota marmota marmota (Alpine marmot). It matches the Rfam family "tRNA". From Rfam's summary of the family: Transfer RNA (tRNA) molecules are approximately 80 nucleotides in length. The record is from Rfam by way of RNAcentral. RNAcentral also lists the same sequence under 1 other name. Lineage: Eukaryota; Metazoa; Chordata; Mammalia; Rodentia; Sciuridae.
GGGGUUGUGGCUCAGAGGUAGAAGUGCUUGCCUAGCAUGCAUGAGGUACUGGGUUCGAUCCUCAGCUACCACA